This 734-nucleotide ribosomal RNA is filed under the name Saccharothrix sp. RNAcentral describes it as "bacterial SSU rRNA". It matches the Rfam family "Bacterial small subunit ribosomal RNA", at positions 62 to 813 of the family's 1533-position model. Lineage: Bacteria; Bacillati; Actinomycetota; Actinomycetes; Pseudonocardiales; Pseudonocardiaceae. The record is from RNAcentral.
UCGAGCGGUAAGGCCCUUCGGGGUACACGAGCGGCGAACGGGUGAGUAACACGUGGGUAACCUGCCCUGUACUCUGGGAUAAGCCUGGGAAACUAGGUCUAAUACCGGAUACGACCUGUCACCGCAUGGUGGUGGGUGGAAAGUUCCGGCGGUAUGGGAUGGACCCGCGGCCUAUCAGCUUGUUGGUGGGGUAAUGGCCUACCAAGGCGACGACGGGUAGCCGGCCUGAGAGGGUGACCGGCCACACUGGGACUGAGACACGGCCCAGACUCCUACGGGAGGCAGCAGUGGGGAAUAUUGCACAAUGGGCGAAAGCCUGAUGCAGCGACGCCGCGUGAGGGAUGACGGCCUUCGGGUUGUAAACCUCUUUCAGCGGGGACGAAGGGCAACUGACGGUACCCGCAGAAGAAGCACCGGCUAACUACGUGCCAGCAGCCGCGGUAAUACGUAGGGUGCGAGCGUUGUCCGGAAUUAUUGGGCGUAAAGAGCUCGUAGGCGGUUUGUUGCGUCGGCUGUGAAAACUUCACGCUUAACGUGGAGCCUGCAGUCGAUACGGGCAGACUUGAGUUCGGCAGGGGAGACUGGAAUUCCUGGUGUAGCGGUGAAAUGCGCAGAUAUCAGGAGGAACACCGGUGGCGAAGGCGGGUCUCUGGGCCGAUACUGACGCUGAGGAGCGAAAGCGUGGGGAGCGAACAGGAUUAGAUACCCUGGUAGUCCACGCCGUAAACGGUGGG